UACGGAGGGUGCAAGCGUUAUCCGGAUUCACUGGGUUUAAAGGGUGCGUAGGUGGGUUGGUAAGUCAGUGGUGAAAUCCCCGAGCUUAACUUGGGAACUGCCUUUGAUACUAUCAGUCUUGAAUACUGUGGAGGUCAGCGGAAUAUGUCAUGUAGCGGUGAAAUGCUUAGAUAUGACAUAGAACACCAAUUGCGAAGGCAGCUGGCUACACAAAUAUUGACACUCAGGCACGAAAGCGUGGGGAUCAAACAGG
Molecule: ribosomal RNA, 253 nt
Filed under: uncultured bacterium
Lineage: Bacteria
Description: partial 16S ribosomal RNA
Rfam family: Bacterial small subunit ribosomal RNA
Source: RNAcentral